GUGGAGAAUCGCUCCAUAAAAGCGGCGCUGCAGGUGUGUUAAGAGCAGUCUUUAAUAUUAAUAUCGUUAAUAUGAUGUGAGCGUGUGAAGCUCUUACUUUCACCCCUGAUUAUUUCCCAUCUUUAGCUUCAUAAUGACAUUAAUUAAGGAUCAGACUCGUAUCUGGUGUCGUGGCAGACGUAGUGUGUUUGACAAACUGCUGGUAUUUUUUUC
Molecule: long non-coding RNA, 213 nt
Organism: Thalassophryne amazonica
Lineage: Eukaryota; Metazoa; Chordata; Actinopteri; Batrachoidiformes; Batrachoididae
Exons: 3
Source: RefSeq, a predicted model, not a curated record